AUGAUUGUACGAGGAGAGAAUGCGAAAGCGUCGCCGAAGGAGCAAAUAACAAAAGUUAUGAAUCUCUCAGGCAAAAAGACUCGUACAGGACG
Molecule: regulatory RNA element, 92 nt
Organism: Planococcus sp. PAMC 21323
Lineage: Bacteria; Bacillati; Bacillota; Bacilli; Caryophanales; Caryophanaceae
Rfam family: Glycine riboswitch aptamer
About the family: This family represents the bacterial glycine riboswitch. Glycine riboswitches usually consist of two metabolite-binding aptamers domains with similar structures in tandem.
Source: Rfam